CAGUAGAGACUCCUACGGGAGGCAGCAGUAGGGAAUCUUCCGCAAUGGGCGAAAGCCUGACGGAGCAACGCCGCGUGAGUGAUGAAGGUCUUCGGAUCGUAAAACUCUGUUAUUAGGGAAGAACAAAUGUGUAAGUAACUAUGCACAUCUUGACGGUACCUAAUCAGAAAGCCACGGCUAACUACGUGCCAGCAGCCGCGGUAAUACGUAGGUGGCAAGCGUUAUCCGGAAUUAUUGGGCGUAAAGCGCGCGUAGGCGGUUUUUUAAG
Molecule: ribosomal RNA, 268 nt
Filed under: Staphylococcus epidermidis
Lineage: Bacteria; Bacillati; Bacillota; Bacilli; Caryophanales; Staphylococcaceae
Description: partial 16S ribosomal RNA
Rfam family: Bacterial small subunit ribosomal RNA
Source: RNAcentral